This 390-nucleotide long non-coding RNA is filed under the name Lynx pardinus (Iberian lynx). Lineage: Eukaryota; Metazoa; Chordata; Mammalia; Carnivora; Felidae. The record is from RNAcentral.
GAGGAUCGUGGAUUUCUGAAGGUAGAGGACGUGCCUGUGGUGCUUGUGGAGAAGAAGGGCCGUAUAGGCGCUGGCCCAGCCCAUGAGACUCAGAAACAAGAAAUCCCGCAGGGCCAUGAGGAUGGGAAACGUCCACUUCCUGAUCUGGCUUCUUGGGAGGACGUGAGAGCAGCUAUUUCCGUGGCUAGCUUGUGACCUGUUUAGGCCGCUCGUGUUGCUGACGUAGUAGAGUAAGUUCACGCUGACCAAGGAGUUGAGGACCCAGAAGAAGAGGCAGAAGGGAAGGAUGUGGCUUGCGGAUGCUGGCUUGAAGCCGGCGGGCACGGGGGCUCUGGGGCUGAUGGUGGUGGCCUGGACCACGGCGAGGAAGCUGCUGCUGGAGAUCGAAAG